RNAcentral lists this ribosomal RNA (424 nucleotides) under uncultured bacterium. Its description in RNAcentral is "bacterial SSU rRNA". It matches the Rfam family "Bacterial small subunit ribosomal RNA", at positions 355 to 776 of the family's 1533-position model. The record is from RNAcentral.
UGAGGAAUAUUGGACAAUGGAGGAAACUCUGAUCCAGCCAUGCCGCGUGCAGGAAGACUGCCCUAUGGGUUGUAAACUGCUUUUAUACAGGAAGAAACCGCUCUACGUGUAGAGCUCUGACGGUACUGUAAGAAUAAGGAUCGGCUAACUCCGUGCCAGCAGCCGCGGUAAUACGGAGGAUCCAAGCGUUAUCCGGAAUCAUUGGGUUUAAAGGGUCCGUAGGUGGAUAAUUAAGUCAGAGGUGAAAUCUUGCAGCUCAACUGUAAAAUUGCCUUUGAUACUGGUUAUCUUGAGUUAUUAUGAAGUAGUUAGAAUAUGUAGUGUAGCGGUGAAAUGCAUAGAUAUUACAUAGAAUACCAAUUGCGAAGGCAGAUUACUAAUAAUAUACUGACACUGAUGGACGAAAGCGUGGGUAGCGAACAGG